GACCCUCUUUGGGGUGCUCGGGGUGUGGGGGGUGUCAAGGAUCCCCUUUGGGGUGCUCGUGGUCUGUGGGGUGUCUGUGGGGUCACAGGACCCCCUUUUGGGGUGCUCGGGAGGUCUGUGAGGGGUCUGGGGUGUCAAGGACCCCUUUUGGGGUUCUCUGGAGGUCUGUGAGGGGUCUGGGGGGGAUCAAGGAUCCCCUUUGGGGGGCUCAGGGCCUCCUUGAACAGGUUUGGGGUGUCUGAGGGUUACAGGACCCCUUUGGGGUGCUCUGGGAGCCCCUCGGGGAGGUUUGGGGUGCUCAGAGAGUUCAGGGAGCCCUUUUGAGGUGCUCUGGGUGCCCCUGGAGGUUUUUGGGGGGUCAGGGAGCCCUUUUGGGGUGCUCUGGGUGCCCC
Long non-coding RNA from Serinus canaria (Common canary), 392 nucleotides. RefSeq lists it as uncharacterized. The record is from RefSeq and is a predicted model, not a curated record. The transcript is spliced from 3 exons. Lineage: Eukaryota; Metazoa; Chordata; Aves; Passeriformes; Fringillidae.